Long non-coding RNA from Harpia harpyja (harpy eagle), 711 nucleotides. RefSeq lists it as uncharacterized. Lineage: Eukaryota; Metazoa; Chordata; Aves; Accipitriformes; Accipitridae. The transcript is spliced from 3 exons. The record is from RefSeq and is a predicted model, not a curated record.
CUUCUUGCCUCCUUUGUAGGUGUCUUCCCAGCAGCAGGAGCACAGGUUUCUGCACCGGAGAGAGAAGAGCUUCAGCUAAAGAAGGAUGCUUCAUGUCAAACCGACCUUCAAGGCGACAGACAGGCCGCAGUAAGGUCUCCCCAGAGCUCGCUUUUCCCCAGGCUGAACAACCCCAACUCUCUCAGCCUUUCUUCACGGGAGAGGUGUUCCAGCCCUCUGAUCAUUGUUGUGGCCCUCCUCUGGACCUGCUUGAGCAGGUCCAUGUCCUCCUUGUGCUGGGGACCCCAGAGCUGGAUGCAUUACUCCAGGUGGGGUCUCAUGAGAGCAGAGUAGACGGGCAGAAUCACCUCCCUCGACCUGCUGGCCACCCUGAAGGCCGAGCUAAUGAUAUCAUCCCAUGAGUAAAAGCAUCUCUCGUGUUGUCAUCUUCUCACUGAUUUCUCCAUGCUCAUGGAACACCAUUUCUUUAGACAUGGGUCAAGCAGCCGUGGCAGGAGCUCGCCAACCCUCUCAAAAGGAGCUCCCUCACAGAAGCUUCACCUGAAGCUGUGAAGUGCUACAGCGUGUACCUGCAGGAACAGAAACUGCAGUUGCAGAAGAAACUGUACCGUUCCAAAGCUAAGGUAUGGAGAAAGCCUGUCUCUUGUCUCUUGGCAGGGGCCCAGGCCUUUUUUGUAGCAAACCAGAGCGGGGACCUGAUCCUUUCUUGGG